RNAcentral lists this ribosomal RNA (273 nucleotides) under uncultured bacterium. RNAcentral describes it as "partial 16S ribosomal RNA". It matches the Rfam family "Bacterial small subunit ribosomal RNA", at positions 524 to 796 of the family's 1533-position model. The record is from RNAcentral.
UACGGGGGGGGCAAGCGUUGUUCGGAAUUACUGGGCGUAAAGGGCGCGUAGGCCGCUUGUUAAGUCGGGUGUGAAAACUCUGGGCUCAACCCAGAGCCUGCAUUCGAAACUGACGAGCUAGAGUUCUGGAGGGGAAAGCGGAAUUCCUGGUGUAGCAGUGAAAUGCGUAGAUAUCAGGAGGAACACCGGUGGCGAAGGCGGCUUUCUGGACAGAAACUGACGCUGAUGCGCGAAAGCUAGGGGAGCAAACAGGAUUAGAAACCCUAGUAGUCC